ACUAUAUUGGCAGAAAAUAUGCAAUAAAUUUAGAAUUUAUUUAAAUAAUUAAAAAUUAUAUUUAGUA
This 67-nucleotide transfer RNA is filed under the name Thienemanniella majuscula. RNAcentral's name for it is "tRNA-Leu". The record is from RNAcentral. Lineage: Eukaryota; Metazoa; Arthropoda; Insecta; Diptera; Chironomidae.